GGCCUACACAUGCAAGUCGAACGGUAACAGAGAAGAGCUUGCUCUUUUGCUGACGAGUGGCGCACGGGUGCGUAACGCGUAUACAAUCUACCUUUUACAAGGGGAUAGCCUUUAGAAAUGAAGAUUAAUAUCCUAUAGUAAGUAGUUUUGGCAUCAAGACAACUUUAAAGCUUCGGCGGUAAAAGAUGAGUAUGCGUUCUAUUAGCUAGAUGGUGUGGUAACGGCACACCAUGGCAACGAUAGAUAGGGGCCCUGAGAGGGGGAUCCCCCACACUGGUACUGAGACACGGACCAGACUCCUACGGGAGGCAGCAGUGAGGAAUAUUGGACAAUGGGCGAGAGCCUGAUCCAGCCAUGCCGCGUGCAGGAAGACUGCCCUAUGGGUUGUAAACUGCUUUUAUACAGGAAGAAACCUUUUCACGUGUGAAAAGCUGACGGUACUGUAAGAAUAAGGAUCGGCUAACUCCGUGCCAGCAGCCGCGGUAAUACGGAGGAUCCAAGCGUUAUCCGGAAUCAUUGGGUUUAAAGGGUCCGUAGGUGGAUAAUUAAGUCAGAGGUGAAAGUUUGCAGCUCAACUGUAAAAUUGCCUUUGAUACUGGUUAUCUUGAAUUAUUGUGAAGUGGUUAGAAUAUGUAGUGUAGCGGUGAAAUGCAUAGAUAUUACAUAGAAUACCAAUUGCGAAGGCAGAUCACUAACAAUAUAUUGACACUGAUGGACGAAAGCGUGGGGAGCGAACAGGAUUAGAUACCCUGGUAGUCCACGCCGUAAACGAUGGUCACUAGCUGUUCGAACUUCGGUUUGAGUGGCUAAGAGAAAUUGAUAAGUGACCCACCUGGGGAGUACGUUCGCAAGAAUGAAACUCAAAGGAAUUGACGGGGGCCCGCACAAGCGGUGGAGCAU
RNAcentral lists this ribosomal RNA (900 nucleotides) under Flavobacteriaceae bacterium L-1-6. RNAcentral describes it as "bacterial SSU rRNA". It matches the Rfam family "Bacterial small subunit ribosomal RNA", at positions 45 to 940 of the family's 1533-position model. Lineage: Bacteria; Pseudomonadati; Bacteroidota; Flavobacteriia; Flavobacteriales; Flavobacteriaceae. The record is from RNAcentral.